RNAcentral lists this ribosomal RNA (504 nucleotides) under uncultured eukaryote. Its description in RNAcentral is "eukaryotic LSU rRNA". It matches the Rfam family "Eukaryotic large subunit ribosomal RNA", at positions 1405 to 1910 of the family's 3401-position model. The record is from RNAcentral.
GAAGCCUUUGGCGUGAGCCUGGGUUGAACUGUGUUUAGUGCAGAUCUUGGUGUUAGUAGCAAAUAUUCAAAUGAGAACUUUGAAGACCGACGUGGAGAAGGGUUCCAUGAGAACAGCAUUUGGUCAUGGGUUAUCCGAUCCUAAGGCAUAGGGAAAUUCCUUGUAAUACAAGAGCAAUUUGCUCGUUGCCGAAAGGGAAUGAGGUUAAUAUUCCUCAGACUGGACGUGGAUAUUGUAUGGUAACAUAAGUGAGCCCGGAGACAUCGGUAUGAACUCCUGGAAGAGUUAUCUUUUCUUUUUAACAAUCUAUCGCCCUGAAAUGGGAUUAUCCCGAGCUAGGGCUUUAUGGUUGGCAGAGCAUCGCACUCUAUGCAAUGUCAGGUGCGUUCAUAACGAUCCUUGAAAAUCCGGGUAAGAGAUUUAUUCUCACGCCAGGUCGUACCAUAACCGCAUCAGGUCUCCAAGGUUAGCAGCCUCUGGUCAAUAGGAUAAUGCAGAUAAGGG